UUGGGUUUUAUUCUGGCUCCGAGUGAACGCUGGUAACAUAUUUUAACACAUGCAAAUCGAACGAGAUUUUCUAAAUCUAGUGGUGACCUGGUGAGUAAUGUAAGAGAAUCGAAGUGCAGGUUAGGUCAAAUACCUAAUUUGAAAGAUUUAUAUCGCUUGCAAUAGAGCUCUUAUAGGAUUAGGUAGUUGUUGUAGUAAUUAUUCAACAAGCCGACGAUGCUUAGCUGGUUUGAGAGAAUGAUCAGCCACAUUGGGACUGAAAACGGCCCAAGUCUUUUAAAAGGGCAGCAGUGGAGAAUAUUUGACAAUGGGCGAAAGCUUGAUCGAGUAAUGCUACGUGGGUGAUCAGAAGGCUUAAUUGCUGUAAAACUCGUUUCGUCAAGGAUUAUAAUGCAAUCGUACUUGAAGGAGAUGCCCUGACUAACUUCGUGCCAGCAGUCGCGGUAAUACGGAGAGGGCUAGUGUUAUUCGCAUUGACUGGGUGUAAAGGGUGCGUAGGUGGUCUAUUAAGUUUUGAGACAAAAGUUAGACUUAGAGUUUAAUUAUCUCCUAAUACUAAUAGACUAGAGUUUAUUGGAAGAUGGCUGAACAUUAAGUGUAAAGGUGAAAUUUUUCGAUAUUUAAAGGGCAUUCGUUAGGCGAAGGCUGUCAUCUACUUUAAUACUGACACUGAGGCACAAAAGCAUAGGGAUCAAACAGGAUUAGAGACCCUGGUAGUCUAUGCCCUGACCGAUGAAUAUUGAUUACGUUUAGUUACGUAAUUAAGCUAACGCGUAAAUAUUCCACCUGAGUACUACGACCGCAAGGUUAAAACUCAAAGAAACUGACGGAAGAUUGUAUAAGCGGUGGAGUAUGUGGUUUAAUUUGAUAUAACGCAAAAAAUCUUACCAACUCUUGAAUACAAAUUGCGUUUACAUUCCGAAGUAAGUUUCCUUACUUCGGAAUGUCGCAGUGCUUCUUUUGUUAAAAGAAGCACUGAUUUGUACAGGUGCUGCAUGGUUGUCGGCAGUUCGUGUUGUGAAAUGUUUUGUUAAUUCAUUUAACGGACGUAACCUUCAGUCAUAUUUCAAUUCAGUAUAUGGCAACAUUAAUUUCAAAAUUAAUUGAGAGGAGAAGAAGUCAAAUCAUUAUGGCCUAUAUAAGUUGGGCUACACACGUACUACAAUGGUAAUCACAAUGUGAAGCAAAAACGCAAGUUUUAGCUAAUCAUUAAAAAUUAACCUAAGUUCGAAUUGCUCUCUGAAAGUCGAGAGCAUGAAGUCGGAAUCGCUAGUAAUCGCAGAAUAGAAUGCUGCGGUGAAUACAUUCUCAAUCUUUGUACACACCGCCCGUCACGCCAUGGGAAUUGGUUUGGUUAGAAGUUUUGUAGAAUUUAGCGUUAUUUGUGAGGAAUACUUUUUUCCACGAAUAGGUUAAAUUGCUAGGAACGACAACUAGAUUGAGGACUGGGGUGAAGUCGUAACAAGGUAGCGGUAGGGGAACCUGCUGCUGGACAAAAUU
Molecule: ribosomal RNA, 1500 nt
Filed under: Acanthamoeba culbertsoni
Lineage: Eukaryota; Discosea; Longamoebia; Acanthamoebidae
Description: partial 16S small subunit ribosomal RNA
Rfam family: Bacterial small subunit ribosomal RNA
Source: RNAcentral